Molecule: long non-coding RNA, 3898 nt
Organism: Photinus pyralis (common eastern firefly)
Lineage: Eukaryota; Metazoa; Arthropoda; Insecta; Coleoptera; Lampyridae
Exons: 3
Source: RefSeq, a predicted model, not a curated record
UCCUUUGCACGUCACUGACAGAAUAGAACACCAAUUUUUGGUAUAUUUAAUGAGAAAAAUAUUAGAGACUUGUGCCCAGAACAAGUUGAUCUAUGGACUUGUGGUAGGUAAACUUUUGUAGAACUGGAUAUGCUGCGAUCAACGAUGCCAAAGGUUUUUGUUUAAUAUUUGACAUUGACGUUCGAAUUUUUUGUUGGCAGUUCUCACCUUUCGUUAUUCAUUAUCGGUAGUCGCUUUCAACAGAAUUGUGGUGUGUCUGAAGUGCUUUUAGUCGAAAUGCAUAACCAUUUACAUAGUAAAGCUAAGGAAUGGGAGGCUAGUUUCAUCCAUUAUUUUGAAAUGGACUAUGAAGAUUGUGAUCCUUUAUUUCCAUUGGGAAGAUAGAGGAGUGUAUCCUUAUAUAAAAGCAACUUUGUUCAUAUUUUUAUUUUAGCGUUCGUAGACGUUACCAUAGUAUAAUCCUUCAUCACUAGAUACUCAACUCCUUUUGGAAAUACAUACCGAUUUUUUCAGCGUAGCAUUUACGUAUAUGCGUUGUGGGUUCCCUCCUACUGCAUAAAUUUGUUGUUACUAUUUGCCUUAUAACGUGAACUGUUGUUUGGAGAAAACAAAAUGAAACGUGGGUAGAUUUGUUCGUCGUUGGACUCCUUAUCUGUCGCAUUCCUCCAAAUCCCACCCAGAUUUACGCAGGCUCACCAAUAAAGCUCUAACGAGCCUCCGUACGUACAGAGAAUUUUAUAGGGUAGAAAAAAUGCACAAUCUAAAUUAUAUAGAUACGGAAUUAUAAUCUUGUGUGUGUGAAUUUUUGUUUAUGCAUUGUAAGGAAAUCAAUUAUUUCAUUUAUGUAUAACCCGGUUUUUUAUUUAACCGUAAGACACGUUGAUACAGUCACCCGCAGACUGGUAUCUCGGAUACAUCUGUAACAUUGCGUCUUAUGGAGCCGUUCACACACGCAUACUUCUCGCAUACAGUACCGGCGACUAAAUUUCGGUUUCCCGCUAGGUCCAGUCGCCCGGAGAUUUUACGACUUUAGGGAACUGAUGGGCUAUUGGUUCAUAUGGAACUCUUUACAGGAGGGUACCUUUUCAUUAGCAACCGGUCAGUGCUGUUCGUCACCUCCGCCCGAAGAAACAAAAUAGUCAUAAAAUGGAGCGCACCUUUGAUGUAUUGUAUAGUAAAAUGGCUUCUGCAACGUCAAUUUUAUCAGGUGUGGUGUGACUUUACAGAAACCCGCCCGCCACUGCACUGAAAAUCGAAGUACCUCACUGCGUAAGGCUGGAAUUCUGAUGACAAAGAUACAGUAUUUCGCAUACAGUACCACCGUGUAAAAGAGCUCUAAGGAAGCUAAAAGAUGCAAAUAGAGUAAAUAAAUAAAUACUGCACUAUGUGUGCAUAUUUAGGGUGAGAUAAAUGAAUCAGAUCAUUGUAAUAAGGUAAGAACAAAGAGAUCCGAGUUAAAUACGUCUAUCGCAACCCAAAGUUAAAUGACAAAUAAUGAGACAGGAGGCUUUAAGCGGCGUUACAUGGGGCGAACCUGCGCCGCGUUGUCGCAAAGCGCGAGGUGCAAUUUUAAGUCAAUCAGUCCUCUGAAUGGAUCCCGAAGACUGAAAUUAAUCCAAUAGCGAAAAUCAUAUCGAUCGAGCCACCGUCAUGCUGCGGACGAAGGUUUUCGCAGCAUUUCGAAGAAAGAAAACAAGAAGCUUGAACAUAUCCACGGCGUACCAGGAUGCCAGAAGCGGCGUAGGUAGGUGCGGAUAGCGCCGAUCCUGACGAACGGAGUUAGGUCAGAGCCGGGACGUGAUGACAUGCGGUGGCGACGUCUUGAGCCAAAGCGACCAGCCUCAGUUGCUUAUGUAGGGAAGGUAGGCUUGCCCAGGCACAAGUGGUUUUUGCUGGCCCUUGGUGGUGCUUAUUAACAAUUCGUCGAGGCGUCCGGCGUUGCGGCGAAUGGGGCGUUUGCUGGUAGUGGGGUCCUUCCCUGGCGUUCCUAACAACGGCGGGAAGUCUAUAGUCGGUCCGUGCAUAGUACAGCUGGAUGCAAGAUAACUCUCCUUGUGAGUGAAAGCCGUGACCCGAACUCGUCUAGAACUGGUGGUGCACAAACGAUAAAGGUAUUUAGGAACAAUCGAUGCGAAGUAUGUUUUGCGAAUCAAUGUUUCUUAACUAUUUGCUGUACAGGAUUGUUACGCUUCAAACCCCAUUUACUAAUUAUGUUAUUCUAUUGCAGCAAGAACAUACCUUAAAGAAAAUAAGAACCGUUUCAUAAUUUAAUAAAGAUUAUUGACUUAUUAUUUAUCCCUUUACCUUUUUCCUUAAGAGGCCAGGAGAGAAUUACUAACUGAUAGCUAUCGGGCGCACAUUAUACAUAAUUCCAUAACAAGAACCACCCGUAAUUUAAUUAAGGUAUGCGAAGAUUAGCCAGAGGUAGGAUGGAGUAGAAGAGGUAUUUGUAACAUCCGUUACAAAAUGACACCCAAAAACGGGGCUUACGUAUUAGAGUGUUCUGGAGAAGCGAUGAAAAUAACGGGAAGGACACACAAACAGGAAUUGAUGCUUCACUUGACCUUCACUGUGGAAUACUGUUUGUUGAAAUCUAAGAACCUCGUGCGUUGCCGGAUGUUUCUACUAUCGUUCUGUAUUUUAGUUCAAAAAGGUAUUUGGGCAUUUGCUUUUAUGCUUUCAGAGAAAUGUAUGUAUCUGUGCCACUAAAUUACAUUCCCAACAGUUUCUUUUUGAAUCAAACAGCAUAGAUAAAAAAGGUUUUGUAUAAUAUAAAAAAUCUAUAAAAGUAUAAUCAGCAUUGUUACAGACUCGCUUCAGAAGCUUCUUGCGAUACGACCGAUGUCUGAGACUGAUUAGGGCAACUGCUUUUCCUUCUGCACACCCGCUUCCUCUUCCUUGAACAACUUCGUCUGCGCAUCCUUCUUUUUCUUCGUUUGCAAGUACGCCUCUUUAUUUUCCGUUUGCAUUUGCGUCGUCUCUUCUGUAACUUACAUCUGAGCUUCCUUCGCCCAGGUUUACACUUAGUUCGAAAGGGCUUAGCAGCCCUUCCGGCCUGUGCUGCUCUGCACUGGUACUUUCUUCUGCGAAAUUCACUCAUGUUGCACCACCGGCGAGCUCCUUCGAGCGUCAGCUUGCAUGAAAGCCACGUGGGGUAUUUCUUACGCAGCUCUUGUAAGAAAUUUAAAAAGGGAUUUUUCGAAAAGCGGGAGUUUUUUCGUCUUUUGCAGAUUACGUUUGUGCCCUUCUCUCUACGUCUACGUCUUCUACAUGCCAUAAUUUCGGAAUAAAAUUCUCUGAAAGGUCAAACUAAAAUUUUGAAGUUAACAAAACAAUCUUGUUUGAUACGUUAGUAACGCCCAGACGACUACGUAGUUUCACAAAUUUCCUAUGCAACUAACAAAGUUUGUCUAUGGUUACCACUUUAUUUUCCAAGGAGACGUAAAAACAAUUUUGUUUCAUAAGUUAGUAACGCCCAGACGAUUACGUAGUUUCACAAAUUUCCCAUGCAAGUUACAAAGUCUGUCCAUGGUUACCACUUUAUUUACCAAGGAUACGUAGCAUGUCCGGAGAAAUACAGACAUUUACACGUCGAUAUUUCAGAAAGAAGAGAAAUGUGCAAGAAUUCGAAAUCUGAAAUAAAAUGGACAACUUGGGGUUCACGAUUUCCAAGCAAGGUAUAGGCAUUUUCGGGUUUCAAAACACCCAUUUUUUUAAUACUAGUGCUUUUGAUUACUUAAAAGGAGCGCAGUUCUAGGGUGUACUCAAGCAAUAAAUGGCUUGAGUAAUAAACUAAUAAUUACAUAUUACAAGAGAGAAAAUUUUGAAGACAAAAAUGACAUGAAAGCCUGUUGCUUGGCAAAUUCGCAAAUGACAUUUGUAAAAUGAAUGCCAUGAG